CAUGUCUAUAUGGUUGUUAUAUAAAGUCUAGCCUGCCCACUGAUUUAGUUUAAAGGGCCGCGGUAUAUUGACCGUGCGAAGGUAGCAUAAUCAUUAGUCUUUUAAUUGAAGGCUUGUAUGAAUGGUUGGACAAAAAGUAAGCUGUCUCAAUUAUAAUAAUUGAAUUUAACUUUUAAGUGAAAAGGCUUAAAUAAAUUAAGGGGACGAUAAGACCCUAUAAAGCUUGACAAUAAUUUAAUUAUACUAUCAAUUGUUAGUAUAACUUGGUUUUAAUUAAUAUUUGUUGUGUUGGGGCGACGAGAAUAUAAUAGGUAACUGUUCUUAAAUAUUUAAUAACAAAUAUAAUUGGAAAUUAGUAUGAUCCUCUAUUAGCGAUUAAAAGAUUAAGUUACUUUAGGGAUAACAGCGUAAUCUUCUUUGAGAGUCCCUAUCGACAAGAAGGUUUGCGACCUCGAUGUUGAAUUAAGGUAUCCUUAUGAUGCAG
Molecule: ribosomal RNA, 484 nt
Filed under: Penaeus indicus
Lineage: Eukaryota; Metazoa; Arthropoda; Malacostraca; Decapoda; Penaeidae
Description: partial large subunit ribosomal RNA
Rfam family: Bacterial large subunit ribosomal RNA
Source: RNAcentral